Long non-coding RNA from Lepidothrix coronata (blue-crowned manakin), 1536 nucleotides. RefSeq lists it as uncharacterized. NCBI's taxonomy places the organism in Eukaryota, Metazoa, Chordata, Aves, Passeriformes, Pipridae. The transcript is spliced from 3 exons. The record is from RefSeq and is a predicted model, not a curated record.
GCGGGCGGGAUCCCCACCCACUCCGGCAGCCGGAGCGCCGCGCACACGCACUCGGCAGGAACAAAGAGCCGCCCGGCGCCCCCGCCAUCCAGCCGUGGAAAAGCCGACAAGACCCACCUCCACGGGGAGCCCCAGGAGAACACCUGAGGGGGAAGAUGUCUUUGUAUUGAAAUGUCUUCCUUUAACACAGUCCUGAUUCGUAGGUGGACUUGUAACAUGCAAAUCUUUGCAAAAGAGGAGGUGAGCCGAGAUUCAGUGUUGCCCAAGACUGCUCAGCCAUCACACAACCCUCAUUGAGUUCAUUUCCUCUAGCCAUAUGAAGAGGAGACAUAACCUAAAUAACCAUCUUGAAGUUACAAAAUUGGGAACAAAUCUCAAGGAAGCCAGGGGAGGUUUAGAUUAGAUAUCAUGAAAUAUGUCUUCACGAAAAGGGUUGUCAAGCACUGGAGGAGGCUGCCCAGGGAAGUGGUUGAGUCACCAUCCUGGAAGUAUUGAAAAGAUGUGUAGACGUUGCACUUAGGGACAUGGUUUAGUGGGGACUUGGCAAUGCUAGGUUAACAGAUUUGAUGAUCUUAGAGGUCUUUUCUAAAUGAUUAUGUGAUUCUAAGUACGUAAGUUGUUUGCCUACCCAUUAAUAAUAGCUAUUAGUCACUACUCAGUUCUUGAGUAUCAGCUUUAUGCAGAGCAGUAGCCUUAUCAACCACUGGUGCCUUCCCCAUGCUUUUUUGCUGGCUCAGAUUUCUUGUGCAAAUAGAAACAGACAUUAUUUUUCUGGGCAUAAGUCAACUUUGAAAUCAUCCAGCCUGUCACGCUUCUCUCUCUUUUGUUUAUAAUCUGGAAACUUUCUUCUGCAUAUGCACAGGGCAACAGCACUGUUGUUUGUUAGUCUUUCAAACACUCUUGUAGUGCAAGUAAUACCUCCCAGUCUUAUAAGAAGGACUGGAAAGGAAGAUAGAGCACAGCACAAAGCGUUGACUUCCAGAUGAUGUAACUUUCAUAAGUACAGCGCCCAGUGUACUACUUUGCCACCAGAUAGCACUUAAUCUAAAACUUUUGUUGGUAUCUCCUCUGUCCCUUUGGAAGAAGAAAUGGAAAAAUGUUGAGAGUAAAAAUCAUCUGGCUCUAAUUCUGCUGUGUGUCAUUAGAGUGAGUAAUAAAAUCCAGUUUUCACUGCUACAGGUAGCUGUAAUAUUUAUUUCCAGAGGUAAAAGAGUUGAGUUUCUAUAUGUUUAGCCCUAGACAAAAUGGGCUAAGGUUGUUAUCACUAGUAAUGGUACUAGCCUUAAUUCUUAGAAGUGCAUUGUUCAUCCAGUAAGAUUGCAAAGUGAUUUAAAAGAUGAAUUAGGAGCAUAUGUAAUAUGGAGUUUAUUGACAUCAGUAACAUACAACGAAAAAAAAGCCAAGAAGAAGUUUAUAAUAAGAGUAGUGCUGGAUGAUGCAAUGAGGUGAGAAGGUUCAGUUAGAUGUUAUAAAAUAAAUUUGCACUGAAAGAGUGGUUAAUCACUGCAGUAAGUUGCCCAGGGAGGUGGAGUCACC